Molecule: ribosomal RNA, 460 nt
Filed under: uncultured bacterium
Lineage: Bacteria
Description: partial 16S ribosomal RNA
Rfam family: Bacterial small subunit ribosomal RNA
Source: RNAcentral
CCUACGGGUGGCAGCAGUGAGGAAUAUUGGUCAAUGGACGAGAGUCUGAACCAGCCAAGUAGCGUGAAGGAUGACUGCCCUAUGGGUUGUAAACUUCUUUUAUAUGGGAAUAAAAUGUUCCACGUGUGGGAUUUUGUAUGUACCAUAUGAAUAAGGAUCGGCUAACUCCGUGCCAGCAGCCGCGGUAAUACGGAGGAUCCGAGCGUUAUCCGGAUUUAUUGGGUUUAAAGGGAGCGUAGGUGGAUUGUUAAGUCAGUUGUGAAAGUUUGCGGCUCAACCGUAAAAUUGCAGUUGAAACUGGCAGUCUUGAGUACAGUAGAGGUGGGCGGAAUUCGUGGUGUAGCGGUGAAAUGCUUAGAUAUCACGAAGAACUCCGAUUGCGUAGGCAGUUCACUGGACUGCAACUGACACUGAGGCUCGAAAGUGUGGGUAUCAAACAGGAUUAGAUACCCUAGUAGUC